GGGAUUUGGCUCAGUGGCAGAGCACUUGCCUGGUAUGCCUGAGGCCUUGGGUUCAUUCCCCAGUUCAUUCCCC
RNAcentral lists this transfer RNA (73 nucleotides) under Marmota monax (woodchuck). RNAcentral's name for it is "tRNA.Thr". The record is from RNAcentral. Lineage: Eukaryota; Metazoa; Chordata; Mammalia; Rodentia; Sciuridae.